GGGGAGAUUUGUUGCUGGUAAACAAAACAUCGUGUUUAUUUCCUCUCUUGCCAUGCAUUUGCCAAUAUAGAAUGUAGACUCUAUUAUUUUAAUAGAACAGUCUAGCUUUGUGGAAAACGAGAUUCUCAUGAAAACACACAGGCAUUUUCCAUGAAAAAGGUGUAAGUGGGGAAUGAUUUGGUCGAUAACGGUGUGUGCAUUUGCUCCUUCAUUAAAAGUGUUUAUUAAGUGCUUCUUGUGGGCAGCGGUUUUGAGUAGACAGUUAUGCAAUCGUUAGAAGUGAGGAUUAUGAAGACUAAAUGGAAAAAUGCUUCCAGUUUGGACUUAAACGGAGAAAAUCAACAGGAUGCAAAUGGCUUAUGCGACAUGAUUACAGUUCUGAAAGGAAGAAGGCCCGGAAGUACACCAAAUAGUGACAGUGGCAUGUGGGCACAUUCCAUGACAGUACAGGAUUAUCAGGAUCUCAUAGACCGAGGAUGGCGAAGAAGUGGAAAAUAUGUGUACAAACCUGUCAUGAAUCAAACAUGUUGUCCUCAGUACACAAUAAGGUGCCGACCUUUACAAUUUCAGCCUUCAAAAUCUCACAAGAAGGUUUUGAAAAAAAUGUUGAAAUUUCUGGCUCAAGGGGAGGUUCCCAAAGGAAGUUGUGAGGAUGAGCCCAUGGAUUCCACAAUGGAUGAUGCUGUUGCGGGUGACUUUGCAUUGAUAAAUAAACUGGAUAUACAGUGUGAUCUUAAAACACUCAGUGAUGACGUCAAAGAGAGUUUAGAGAGUAAAGGAAAAAAUUCAAAGAAAGAAGAACCUCAGGAAUUACUUCAGUCACAAGAUUUCGUAGGAGAGAAGUUGGGCUCUGGUGAACCGUCACAUUCAGUUAAAGUUCACACAGUUCCUAAGCCAGGCAAAGGGGCUGAUUUGAGUAAGCCUCCAUGUCGAAAAGCAAAGGAAAUCCGGAAAGAAAGGAAAAGGUUAAAACUAAUGCAGCAGAACCCAGCUGGAGAACUUGAGGGUUUCCAGGCUCAAGGUCACCCAUCAUCUUUGUUUCCACCAAAGGCUAAAUCCAACCAGCCCAAAUCACUCGAAGAUUUAAUUUUUGAAUCUUUACCAGAGAAUGCAUCACACAAGUUAGAGGUGAGGGUGGUGAGAUCAUCUCCACCAAGUUCGCAGUUCAAAGCCACACUUCUGGAGUCUUACCAGGUCUAUAAACGUUACCAGAUGGUUAUUCACAAGAACCCACCUGAUAUGCCAACCGAAAGCCAGUUCACAAGAUUCCUUUGCAGUUCACCCUUGGAGGCAGAGACUCCCCCUAAUGGGCCAGAUUGUGGCUAUGGCUCCUUUCACCAGCAGUACUGGCUUGACGGAAAGAUCAUUGCUGUGGGGGUGAUUGACAUCCUCCCAAACUGUGUAUCAUCUGUGUAUUUGUACUACGAUCCUGAUUAUUCGUUUUUGUCUUUGGGCGUCUACUCUGCACUACGAGAAAUUGCUUUUACUAGGCAGCUUCAUGAGAAAACUUCUCAACUCAGCUAUUAUUAUAUGGGUUUCUACAUUCAUUCGUGUCCCAAGAUGAAAUAUAAGGGUCAGUAUAGACCUUCUGAUUUGCUGUGCCCUGAGACAUAUGUUUGGGUACCCAUUGAGCAAUGCCUGCCUUCACUUGAAAACUCCAAGUACUGCCGUUUCAACCAGGACCCAGAAGCAGAAACACAACGUUGAAUCAUUAGCUUAACUGAGAAAAAUUCUUAAAGGAUACUUGAUGCUGUAUUUUGGAAACCACAUAAUUGGAUAUUCAAUACAAUGUCUACUAGUAAUGGGAACAGCUGACUCGCAGACAGACAUAACAGUCCAAGAUUUAAAUCAUUCACACCCAACUUCAUAGAAGAAUGGAGUCUCUGCAUUUUUUUUUCCUGCAAGUGGAUGAGGAUCGCAGUACGGAACCUGACCGAUUGCAGGUGUUUCACAAGAGAGCCAUCAUGCCUUACGGUGUUUAUAAGAAACAGCAGAAAGACCCAAGUGAGGAGGCCGCUGUUCUGCAGUACGCCAGCCUGGUGGGGCAGAAGUGCUCCGAGCGGAUGCUGCUGUUCAGAAACUGACCUGUUCGCCUCUGCCGGGGGUUCCUGUGUUGUGCUGAUGAUUUGUGCCAGGAUACAUAUUCAGUACCUGUGGGGAAAUAACUGUCACCACCCACAGAUUAGACAUUUUUUAUUUUGACUAUCUGUGGCUUUUAAAAAAUAUUUUGUGGCAAUGUAUCUGUGAGAAUCUCAUAGUUAAUAUAAAGAUUUUAAAACUGCAUUAUGACCUAGCCCCCAUAAUUGGGGUUUAUCAUUUUGGAGGAUUCUUUCUAGAGCAAGAUAUGCUCAAAUUCUCCUGUUUGUAUUUUGUAAAAUGAAGAAGUGAAUCUAAGUAACUUAAUCACAGUUGUGCAUUUUUUUUGGUUCUGUUAGAGAAAUUAAAACAGACUGUUUCCUCAGGCCCAUUUUAAACUGAACUUAUGCUAGGAAACCUUAAGUAUGGGGAAGGUAGAAAGUUCAUUUCAUCACUUAGAAAAUAUGUCUUCUCAAGAACAAAACUGUUCUUGAGUUUUGUUCAAUAUGAAAUUGCUGCCAAAUGUUAUGUAGUUUAAUAAAGAACUUGAAAAAAUAAAACAUUAAAAUGGAUCUUGUGUUAGCAUCAGGUAUCCAUUUGUUCAGGACAGUCCUGUUCAUGUCUGUUGUCUUGGCAUAGUUUUUUCCCCUAGAAUAUAGUACUCCCUUUUACUCUAACAAAUAUCCCAGUUUGGACAAUAAAAUACAUAAUUACUCUAGUUAUAUUAUUUGCUUUAUUUCUAAAAAUGUAAGAAAUUGAAUUUUUUAAAGAAAAAUGUUGGUUCCUGCCUUGAUCUAAGCCUCAUCCAAAGGAAAUAGUCACUAGUUUUUUAUCUUACAACUCAGGACAUUUGUCUUUGGUUAUUAAUGGAAAUUAGUAUGUGAUUACUUUCAUAGUUAUGCCACAAAUCACAUUGAAGAAGGAAUCAUUCUGACCUCUGUUCCAGGACAAGAGCUAGAACAAUCCAUUUCUUGUCCUUUGAUUUGAGAGUCACAGUCAGGGUGGCUUCUGCCACCCUUAGUAACUCAGAGCAGAGGCCAGCCCCCUCCUUCCCUCUCACUUUCUUUCGCUGAGUCCUUUGCCCAUCUGUCAAGGUGGCAGGCACUGUGCUGGGUACAGGAGGACAGUCAGACAUGUCCCUUCUUAGCUAUAGUCGAGCUGUCUGGGAAACAGGAUGAAAAACAGGAGGGUUAUUUUCUUGUGCCCUCUUUGUCAGCUGAUCCCCUCUUCUGCUACCAGCUAUUUGGCCAGCAAGCUGUUUUUAGUCCCCACUUUGCCCAUUUUUCUGUUUUGGUUCAUCGUUUCUUAAAAGCCAUGUUAUAAAACGUGGUAGUUUGAAUGCUGUUGCUAAUUUUAAACUUUCCUCUAAAAUGUACUGAAUGUUGACAAAAAUUUGAAAAUAUCCUCAGCUAACUGGAAUAAAAAGGAUCAUAAAACAAUGAUUUUAAAACUGAAAUCUCUAGAAACUCAACAUCCAAAUCAGCCGUAUUUCUUCAUUCAGAGUGUGUGUGUCACACCUGCCAAGGUGCCGCGUACUCUGCUAACCGAGCUAGAGUAGUGAGCAAAGCCAUUUUCUCUGAUCACAAGAUGUUACAUUUUUCUGGGAUUUUGACCUGCAAAAUAGUCUCGUAAGAGCAUUUGAGAGACUUACUUGGAACUGCCUUCAGAAUCUAUAGAGCCUUUUUUCUCUUUUUCCUCUAAAAUGAAAAGAGCUUCAUUUUAUGAUUAUAACAAAAGUGAUACUGUAAGCAGUUAGAACAUUAAGAAGUAUAAAUAAAAAGUAAAAAUCAUCUACAUCCUACCAUACUCAGAAGGAGAAAAGAACUGUCAUGUAUGUAUACACACAUACCUGUGUAAUUUUAAUAUAAAUAGAAUUAUGUUCUACAUGCUGUUUUAUUUCCUCAACAGUAAAUUAUGGACAUGUCUGAAAUGCGAAAUAAAUUUCAAAAUAAGGCUUCAGAAAGUGUAGUAAGUAAUCUCUGCAUUAUUAAAAAUAAGCAGGGUAGGGCUGGUACUUGGCUCCCUCAGCAUUUGAAUGUCCAGCUUGAUGUUAUCACUGUAUCUUCCCUCCAUUUGUCUUUGUGAUUAGCAUGUAAAAUGGUAUUCAUAAAGAUCACAACCUUUGAAUAUCAGAUGAAGAGAAAACUUGACUCCAACAUCUUACCACAACUCUGGUUUCUUCCUGCAGAAUUCAUUUUCAGAGGAAAAUGAUGAAUCAUCCUUGUCUGUGAACCACUGUGCUUUCCUUGAGGGUGGCAUUGUAGGUUGACACCAGCAAAGACUCAGAGUGACUUGAGCAUUGGAGAUCCUUCUACUUGGCUGCUGUAUUCAUGCAUUAUGUUGGUUUGAGAAUAGCUAGUGUAUUGAUCCAAGUAGUCAAAGUGUCUUAAAAGGACACCUAUUUGUCCUUUUGAGCCCCAGCUGAGUGAAUACUGAUAGUGGACUAGAAAAGCAUAGUCAAGAAAAGUGACCCACCUUGUUACUUGACCAGCAGUCUAGCUGAGAGAUCUGAUUUUAUGUUCGUGGCUUUCUGUAAAGAAAGACACAAGGACUUUUCAAAGACAGUUUAUAUCUUUGUAAGGCACGAAGCUUUGCAUUUGUAAUCUUAGUGUUGUGUCCCCUUCUGAUUUUCAAAUACAUCACACCUGCCUUCCUGUUUUGGGAGCAAAGAUGUAAUUUCAAUUCCCCUUGCUACCAUCCUUAUUUAAAUUAUUUCCAUUCUAAGAGAUUUUUGUUAUUUUUUUAAAUGUAAUCUGAGCACUUUUUUGUAUUCUAAAAGAUAGAUGAUAUCAGAUAAAUAUAUUGUUCAUUUGAUUAAAAUUAUUUAGAUAAAUAUUACUAUGUUGACUUUUAAAUAGCUUUAUCCUAUUUUUCAUUCAUUUUGCAAAUAUUUGUUGUGUGUAGUUUCUUAACGUGUCAGAAUCUAUUAUGUAAAAGAACCUUUUCAGAUUUCUGAACAGUAUAUGCUUUGAUUUUAUAGGCUUUAUAUUAUUUCAGUAUGAAUAAAGAUAAGGAAUAUGAAACAGUUAACUAAAAUGUAUCUGUCAUUGCUAACUUGAAAAAUGAAGUAGAAACAGUUGGAAAAAUGUUUGAAUUAGAAGUUAUUCAAGUGCACACUCUUUUCUAAAAGAAAGCCAAUGACUAUAAGGCAAAAGAAGUUUGACUGCAUGUGGUAUUUUCUGCUCUUGUAUAUGCUUUUUGAACAAGCUAUUUGAUAAAGCCUGAAUGGAAAAAAUAAAGCUGUUUCUAUCUGCA
Molecule: RNA transcript, 5331 nt
Organism: Pan troglodytes (chimpanzee)
Lineage: Eukaryota; Metazoa; Chordata; Mammalia; Primates; Hominidae
Gene: ATE1
Gene name: arginyltransferase 1
Exons: 13
Source: RefSeq, a predicted model, not a curated record